RNAcentral lists this ribosomal RNA (1431 nucleotides) under Lactiplantibacillus plantarum. RNAcentral's name for it is "bacterial SSU rRNA". It matches the Rfam family "Bacterial small subunit ribosomal RNA". The record is from RNAcentral. Lineage: Bacteria; Bacillati; Bacillota; Bacilli; Lactobacillales; Lactobacillaceae.
GCAAGUCGAACGAACUCUGGUAUUGAUUGGUGCUUGCAUCAUGAUUUACAUUUGAGUGAGUGGCGAACUGGUGAGUAACACGUGGGAAACCUGCCCAGAAGCGGGGGAUAACACCUGGAAACAGAUGCUAAUACCGCAUAACAACUUGGACCGCAUGGUCCGAGUUUGAAAGAUGGCUUCGGCUAUCACUUUUGGAUGGUCCCGCGGCGUAUUAGCUAGAUGGUGAGGUAACGGCUCACCAUGGCAAUGAUACGUAGCCGACCUGAGAGGGUAAUCGGCCACAUUGGGACUGAGACACGGCCCAAACUCCUACGGGAGGCAGCAGUAGGGAAUCUUCCACAAUGGACGAAAGUCUGAUGGAGCAACGCCGCGUGAGUGAAGAAGGGUUUCGGCUCGUAAAACUCUGUUGUUAAAGAAGAACAUAUCUGAGAGUAACUGUUCAGGUAUUGACGGUAUUUAACCAGAAAGCCACGGCUAACUACGUGCCAGCAGCCGCGGUAAUACGUAGGUGGCAAGCGUUGUCCGGAUUUAUUGGGCGUAAAGCGAGCGCAGGCGGUUUUUUAAGUCUGAUGUGAAAGCCUUCGGCUCAACCGAAGAAGUGCAUCGGAACACUGGGAAACUUGAGUGCAGAAGAGGACAGUGGAACUCCAUGUGUAGCGGUGAAAUGCGUAGAUAUAUGGAAGAACACCAGUGGCGAAGGCGGCUGUCUGGUCUGUAACUGACGCUGAGGCUCGAAAGUAUGGGUAGCAAACAGGAUUAGAUACCCUGGUAGUCCAUACCGUAAACGAUGAAUGCUAAGUGUUGGAGGGUUUCCGCCCUUCAGUGCUGCAGCUAACGCAUUAAGCAUUCCGCCUGGGGAGUACGGCCGCAAGGCUGAAACUCAAAGGAAUUGACGGGGGCCCGCACAAGCGGUGGAGCAUGUGGUUUAAUUCGAAGCUACGCGAAGAACCUUACCAGGUCUUGACAUACUAUGCAAAUCUAAGAGAUUAGACGUUCCCUUCGGGGACAUGGAUACAGGUGGUGCAUGGUUGUCGUCAGCUCGUGUCGUGAGAUGUUGGGUUAAGUCCCGCAACGAGCGCAACCCUUAUUAUCAGUUGCCAGCAUUAAGUUGGGCACUCUGGUGAGACUGCCGGUGACAAACCGGAGGAAGGUGGGGAUGACGUCAAAUCAUCAUGCCCCUUAUGACCUGGGCUACACACGUGCUACAAUGGAUGGUACAACGAGUUGCGAACUCGCGAGAGUAAGCUAAUCUCUUAAAGCCAUUCUCAGUUCGGAUUGUAGGCUGCAACUCGCCUACAUGAAGUCGGAAUCGCUAGUAAUCGCGGAUCAGCAUGCCGCGGUGAAUACGUUCCCGGGCCUUGUACACACCGCCCGUCACACCAUGAGAGUUUGUAACACCCAAAGUCGGUGGGGUAACCUUUUAGGAACCAG